CCGCCGUAGGGACCCGGACCCGGGGUCGCCAGCCCGGGUGGGCCGGGUCACGUGGGCCGGCGGGCGGCAGAGCGCCGGGGGCGGGGCGGCGAGGGGCAACUGGAGGCCAUUUUGGGGGCGUAGUGGCCGCCCGUGACCGCCCCCGCCCGGGCCCCGGCCCCCGCCCCGCGAGCCGCCCGCCGGAGCAUCUUCUCGCCUGAGCAGAAAACAUCUCUCCGGUCCUCCGAUGUCAGAGCCUCCUCCACCUCGGGUCGUCUCCUUUUCCCCAGCCUGAGCCAGAACCCCAAUCUAGGAUUCUCUGUCCCCUGGCCUCCACUGCAUGGCUUGAUGAGUGGUGAGCAGGUCUGCACCUGGGAUCCCAACCCAGGAACCACAGGCCACUGAAGAGGAGCUCACGAACUUCACCACCAUCCACCAGGCCAGCCCCACCACAGUUCUUUCCUCACUUCUUUCCUGAGUUCCCCCAGACUAUCACCACUACCACUAACAACUCUACUGAAAUCAUUUUCUCAAAGAUCACGUGUUAAUCUGUGACCAGUUCCUAAAUGAAGCAGCAGGGAAGGAUACCCAGGAAGAGAAAUUAAAGGAAGAAGAGACUUGGUUAUACUUUGGGAGCAAGCCAAAAGAGUAAGCAAGAUUCAAUAAAUAAAGGAGAGAGAGAACAGUGAAAGCCUGGACCUAGAGGAAAAGUCCGUGUUCUAUAACUUGAGUUGGAAGACCGGCUAGGAAGGAGUUGGAAGUUGAGGGAGUUGAGUCGGAUAACUUGCGUUCACCAGGUUGCUGCAGCUGCUAAAGAGAAGAGUAAUUCUGAGGGCCAGAGACUUUGUGAACAAGUUUUGGACCUGCCGGAAUUACCUCCAAGCCUAAGGAGGGAUAUGAUAAGUGCCAAAUGAAUGGCAAAAGUGAAAAGCUCCACCAAGUCUCCCUGUCAACUAGAAUAGGGUGGUAUCUAAUCUGGGCCUUGGAAAACAGGUAGAUGAAGUGGGUGGAGGGAUGGGGUCAAGAAAAUGUGCAAAGGCCUCAGGGCAGGAAAGCGUGUUGUUUGUUGUGGGAACUGAAAGGAGAUCCCACAGGCUGAGCACAGGGACAGGGGAGUAGUGGGAAAUAAGACUGGACUGCUAGACUCUGGGACAGAUGAUGUAAGGCCUUGAAUAUUAGGAUGAGGAAUGUGGGCUUUAUUGGUACAUAAUGGAGAACUUGAAGGUUUUUAAGCAAGAAAGUGGCAGUACUUUCCAGAAGGUUGAUCUAGGUCAGUAUGAUAAAGGCAGUGGCAAGGCUUGUUUGAGGUGGGCCCUACACUGAAGUGGUGCCAAAGGGAGGGGAAAGAAGAGGAUCACCCACCCUGAUGUCCUUUUAGCACAUUACUCAUCAUUUCUUUCUCAAGCUUUGUUUGCAAAUAAUUUGCUCUUCAACAGCAAUCAUAACAUGUAAUUAAACGAACACUUGAGGCUUUUCUUGGUUGAAUAAAAUUUCUAUUUAUGGGUAUUAUUAGGGGCGAUAAUAAGAAAUGGUCACUUUAUAUACUCACUUGAUAUAGUCUUCCAACUUUUGGGUUCAGCAUCUCCAAGAGUCCUCAAAAGAUGUUUCAUUCUUUCUGACCCAUGUCCUUCACUCUUUCCACAGAGAUUUUAUGAGUGGACAUCACUGAGGCAGAGCACUGAGUUAGGAGUCAAGAGACCUGUAUUCUAAUUUUACUUCUGGGAAAGCUGUAAUUCUAGCCAAGUCUCCUAAAAUCUCUGGGACUCAGUUUCCUCUGAGAUAUUAAAAAGAUGAUCCCAGAUUCCAUAAUUAUAUUAUUUCCUUUGAGCUUCUUGGAGAAAAAAGUCAUGUUCUCUCUUCCAGCUCCUCCUUUUAUCAUGGGCUGGGAACAUGAGUAAGUGUAACCAUAUCUGAUACAUAACAGGGUGACUGUUUGGGACAAAGAAUUCCAAGCAACCUUUUCAGACUAAUCAGAGUCACUCCCUGACAAGGGAAAGACUCAUCUGGAAGCUCAUCAAGUCGCCCUGCACCUCUAACCCCUUUAUCAUCCCAGCUGCCCCACCUCUAAUACUCUUGAGCAACUAAAUUCCAGUAUGUUCAAAGUCUCCAGUAUACAUUCAAGAGUAUCAUUUAAAAGAAGAAAAGAGCAAGAAGGUUACAUAUUUUCAAUUCUGAUGGAAACGAAAAGGAGCAGAUUCCUUCUGCAUAAUCUUUUUUUUUUUCUGAGUUGGUAAAAUGCCAUUCUGAGGAGAAAGCCAGCUUUCCUUCGCACACCCAAACAACAGCUGAUUCCACCUCCCGUCUCACUUUCCUUUCCUCAUCAGUGAAGGAGGCAGAAGCUUGGCAACUUAAACCUGUACACACAUUCCUGAAGCCCCAGUUUCUCUCACAAUCCGUGGUGACAAAGAGUUUCAGCAGAGUCCCACUCAUUGCUUGAUUUGCUUAGAUUCUUUAUCCGAAUUUUUAGAAAGAUAAGAAAUAAUAAGUAAUAAUAAUAAGAAGAAAGAAUCUGCCAUUCAACUACCAGAGUGCAGUUAGCUGUCAGCCUGCAACUACAUUACCUUUGGGAUCCAUUACCGUGUCAGAGCUAAGGCCCCAUUCUACCUGAGCAGCCCCUAGCCCUUGACUAGGCACAGUGUGGGUAUUAGGGCCUGGCCAUUUCUGGCCACUAUUGGACUCCUGUAGGACACUCUUUUAUCUGGAGCUUUCCAUUGGGUUGACAUUGGAUUGGAAGGAUCUGCAUCAUGGCUUGAGGUUUUCCUGGCCCAAUUUUGUUUCCUACAUCCUUUCCUUUCGCAGAUACCAAAUCUGCAUCAAAGGCUUUCCCUGCCUAUUCCUGCCUCCUUCCCCUUUAUCUUUCCCAGUUAUUACCACCCAAUAAACCUCUUGCACUCCUAA
This is a long non-coding RNA of Equus caballus (horse), 2877 nucleotides long. RefSeq lists it as uncharacterized. The record is from RefSeq and is a predicted model, not a curated record. NCBI's taxonomy places the organism in Eukaryota, Metazoa, Chordata, Mammalia, Perissodactyla, Equidae.